Molecule: long non-coding RNA, 956 nt
Organism: Beta vulgaris subsp. vulgaris (sugar beet)
Lineage: Eukaryota; Viridiplantae; Streptophyta; Magnoliopsida; Caryophyllales; Amaranthaceae
Exons: 3
Source: RefSeq, a predicted model, not a curated record
UUGUUCAUUAAGCUAUACAUAUAGCAACUUAUUUCAUUUUGUCAUCUUAAAGUUCCAUACAUAAAAAAAAAAAAAAAUUUAAUUUUUUUCUAAUUAAAUUAAAACAUGAAGCAACAAUCUGCACCAACUACUGUUGGUGCUGGAGAGUUCUCUACUGGUCUUUGUGAUUGUUUUUCUGAUAUUCCUCUAUGUGGUUUGACAUGUUUGUGUCCAUGCAUUACCUUUGGACGUAUCGCAGAGAUUGUUGACAAAGGCUCGCCAUGAUGGCACGGUCAGAAGCAAAACCAAGGACUAGUGGCUCCGUCGAUGCCAGGUGGCAUGACCAGAUAGGCUGCAUGAAAGAAUGAAGAACUUUAAAUUAUAAGUAGUUCAUGUAUUUGAACCCCUAAAAAAACCUCCAUUAAAACUUGCAUGUUUUUUUUUUCAAUUAGUUCUUUCAAUGUAGAGGUUAAGUAUUAAUUCACCUGAGAAUUAUACCUAGGCCGCUACUCUGUUUCUCACUAAAAUCCUAGUCUCUCCUACUCCUAGUCUCUCCUACUCCUUUUUCACCCGUUAAAGCUCUAUUUUCUCUUUUUAUUUUCAGUUUUUAGUUCUCCUUCUCUCCUACGAGAGUUGUGAGUAUGGUUUUUUUUUUUGUUUUUAGGUAUGAGAAAUUAUUCUCAUUAGUUGAAAUUCGAGGCUCAACAUAAAUUAUUGGACUUUGGAUGCGGUAAACAUGGCUCGAUCAAGAAUGUUUUUUCCAAAAUUUGUCAGAAUGAUAUACUUCCUCAUCAAUAGUUGCUUGAUUCAGCAAAUACAAGGGGAUUGCGCUGUUCGAUCUGGUUCAUUGUAGUUUUUUCGAAGACAAAUUUGAUUUAACCUUGUUUGGUUGUAUCUUGUUUUUCUUUAAUAUCUAUUGUAAUUCCGUUUGGCCUUCAAUUAAUGAAAUUUCUCCUUCUAAAAAAAGUAUUAAGUAA